RNAcentral lists this ribosomal RNA (356 nucleotides) under uncultured Glomeraceae. Its description in RNAcentral is "SSU rRNA". It matches the Rfam family "Eukaryotic small subunit ribosomal RNA", at positions 569 to 929 of the family's 1831-position model. Lineage: Eukaryota; Fungi; Glomeromycota; Glomeromycetes; Glomerales; Glomeraceae. The record is from RNAcentral.
AGCAGCCGCGGUAAUUCCAGCUCCAAUAGCGUAUAUUAAAGUUGUUGCAGUUAAAAAGCUCGUAGUUGAAUUUCGGGGUCAGUAGAUUGGUCGUGCCACUGGUAUGUACUGGUCUCACUGGCUCCUCCUUCCUGAUGAACCGUAAUGCCAUUAAUUUGGUGUUGCGGGGAGACUGGACUGUUACUUUGAAAAAAUUAGAGUGUUUAAAGCAGGCUAACGCUUGAAUACAUUAGCAUGGAAUAAUGAAAUAGGACGUUCGAUCUUAUUUUGUUGGUUUCUAAGAUUGACGUAAUGAUUAAUAGGGAUAGUUGGGGGCAUUAGUAUUCAAUUAUCAGAGGUGAAAUUCUUGGAUUUAU